GAGAAAAACUUGGGUGAUGAGAAGCCCAUUGGAGAGGGGGAAACAGUAGAUUCUAAUAAGGAGGGUGCUGCUAAUGAACCUGAAGAAAAGGAACCCAAAGAUAAGGAAAUGACUCUUGAAGAGUAUGAGAAGGUACUGGAAGAGAAGAGGAAGGCCCUGCAGGCACACAAGGCUGAGGAAAGAAAGGUGGAUGCUAAAGCAUUUGAAUCCAUGCAGCAG
Molecule: unclassified non-coding RNA, 219 nt
Filed under: Hevea brasiliensis (rubber tree)
Lineage: Eukaryota; Viridiplantae; Streptophyta; Magnoliopsida; Malpighiales; Euphorbiaceae
Source: RNAcentral